Molecule: ribosomal RNA, 692 nt
Filed under: uncultured bacterium
Lineage: Bacteria
Description: bacterial SSU rRNA
Rfam family: Bacterial small subunit ribosomal RNA
Source: RNAcentral
AGAGUUUGAUCCUGGCUCAGAUUGAACGCUGGCGGCAGGCUUAACACAUGCAAGUCGAGCGGGGAGAUGUAGCUUGCUACAUUUCCUAGCGGCGGACGGGUGAGUAAUGCUUAGGAAUCUGCCUAUUAGUGGGGGACAACAUUCCGAAAGGAAUGCUAAUACCGCAUACGCCCUACGGGGGAAAGCAGGGGAUCUUCGGACCUUGCGCUAAUAGAUGAGCCUAAGUCAGAUUAGCUAGUUGGUGGGGUAAAGGCCUACCAAGGCGACGAUCUGUAGCGGGUCUGAGAGGAUGAUCCGCCACACUGGGACUGAGACACGGCCCAGACUCCUACGGGAGGCAGCAGUGGGGAAUAUUGGACAAUGGGCGAAAGCCUGAUCCAGCCAUGCCGCGUGUGUGAAGAAGGCCUUUUGGUUGUAAAGCACUUUAAGCGAGGAGGAGGCUACUUAGAUUAAUACUCUAGGAUAGUGGACGUUACUCGCAGAAUAAGCACCGGCUAACUCUGUGCCAGCAGCCGCGGUAAUACAGAGGGUGCGAGCGUUAAUCGGAUUUACUGGGCGUAAAGCGUGCGUAGGCGGCUUUUUAAGUCGGAUGUGAAAUCCCUGAGCUUAACUUAGGAAUUGCAUUCGAUACUGGGAAGCUAGAGUAUGGGAGAGGAUGGUAGAAUUCCAGGUGUAGCGGUGAAAUGCGUAGA